Molecule: ribosomal RNA, 509 nt
Filed under: uncultured dictyochophyte
Lineage: Eukaryota; Dictyochophyceae
Description: SSU rRNA
Rfam family: Eukaryotic small subunit ribosomal RNA
Source: RNAcentral
CUGACUCAGGGAGGUAGUGACAAAAAAUAACUUAGUCGGGCCGUUUUCGGUCUGACUUUAGGAAUGAGAACAAUUUAAAUCCCUUAUCGAGGAUCAAUUGGAGGGCAAGUCUGGUGCCAGCAGCCGCGGUAAUUCCAGCUCCAAUAGCGUAUAUUAAUGUUGUUGCAGUUAAAAAGCUCGUAGUUGGAUUUCUGGUCUAAGCGCCUGGCCGGCUCCGCAAGGGGUCGUGCAUGGGUACCUUGGUCCAUCCUCAGGGGAACUGUCACUGGUAUUCAUUUAUCGGUGUUGGGACGCCUGUCGUUUACUGUGAACAAAUUAGAGUGUUCAAAGCAAGGUGUACUUGAAUACAUUAGCAUGGAAUAAUAAGAUAGGACUUUGGUGGUUCUUUUUGAUAUUUUGUUGGUUUUGCACGCCAAAGUAAUGAUUAAUAGGAGCAGUUGGGGGUAUUCGUAUUCAAUUGUCAGAGGUGAAAUUCUUGGAUUUAUAGAAGACGAACUACUGCGAAAGCA